Molecule: long non-coding RNA, 13117 nt
Filed under: Manihot esculenta (cassava)
Lineage: Eukaryota; Viridiplantae; Streptophyta; Magnoliopsida; Malpighiales; Euphorbiaceae
Description: long non-coding RNA (MESC_LNC002461)
Source: RNAcentral
AUGGCUUCUUAUGGUGAUGAAAUGGAGGGAUCUUUGGGAUGGGAGGGAUAGGCUUGUAGAAUACUGGUGGUUUAGGUUUCUUGAAUAUUGGAAUAUGAGGUGGAAGUGGCUUCUUGAAUAUUGGAAUAUGAGGUGGAAGUGGCUUCUUGAAUAUUGGGAUCAGUGGUUUCUUAAAAAGUGGAAUAGGAGGUGGAAGUGGUUUCUCAAAUUUUGGAAUCGGCGGCGGCAAUGGUUUCUUGUAAAUCGGAAUAGGUGGUGGAAGUGGUUUCUUGUAAAUUGGUAUUGGAGGAGGCAAUGGUUUCUUGUAAAUUGGUAUUGGAGGCGGAAGUGGCUUCUUAUAAACUGGUAUCGGCGGUGGAAGUGGCUUCUUAAAAAUGGGUAUUGGCGGUGGAAGUGGUUUCUUAAAAAUGGGUAUCGGCGGAGGAAGUGGUUUCUUAAAAAUGGGAACAUGAGGAGGGUAAACUUUGGGAGGCAGUGGAGGAAACACUUUAGCACCAAAGAACAAUGGCUGAUCAACUACAUCUUGUGUCUUAUCAUCGCCAUAGCUGAAAGAGGCAGCAAACACCAAAGAAACAAAUAAGCACAGAAGUGCUCCUCUAAAAACAGAGAGAAUUCUCAUUGGGAACUAAUCUUGAUGGCUCCUUAAAGAAAACCAAGGAAGUGAUGGAGGACUUGUUGCAGACAAUUAGCUUCUUAUAUAGUAUGUUAAAGGAAGUGAUAGGACAUAUGACAAGCUCAACUGCACAUAAUUAAGGCCUCAAAUGCUGGAAACAAGUGAAGGCUUAGUCCCAAAGCUAACAUAAAUAUCAUUACAUUAACAUUUUCCUAAUCUGACGGCUGCUUUUCACAUUCAUAAGAGCUCUAGCUCUAUCUAAUUUUAUAAAUAUAAUUAUUAUUAUGUCUCUAUAAUUUAAAUAAAUUAUCAUUGUAUUUUAUAAAUUAAUUAAAAAAUAUUUAUAAGUUAAUUUAAUACCAUUCAAUUUAAGACCGUCUAACCCUAAUCCAUCAAUAAAUAAAAAUUUUCUAACUCUAUAAUUACCUUUCAAACCUAUCUCCAUCUUUAAAGCCUACCUAACUAUCGCAUCAGCUAAGGUGGCAAAUUUUAAUACUCACUCUAUUUUAUAAAUAUAAAUUUAUUUUAAUUUUUCAUUUAUCAUAAUUUUUUUUUAAAUUAUAGUUUAUUUAUUAAUUUAUUAAUAUAUUUAUAUUUAAUAUUUAUUAAAAAAUAAAAUUCAUAAAUUUUUAAAAUAAUUUAGUAAUUUGAGUUGUCAUUGUUUUUUUUUACCAAAAAUAAAAUUACUUCAUUGAAAGAGGAGUACAAUACAAGAACCCAUAAAAAUUAAUCUAAAACAAAAGCACUAAGCCCACACUUGAUCUGCCUAUAAUAGAACUAAACCCCGUAUAAUAGUAAAAACCCUAGAGAACUGAGUUAAAUCGACUCGAGAGAGCAACUCUGAUCAAGAAGCAGAGUAUCACUGCAUUGGCAUCCUUGCCAGGGAGAUGAGACUAAACACGUUGCUAAUGACUUUGCCACCACUCUCCAACACUCAACAAGGUAAGCGACUCUAUUAAGCAAAAAGAAAGAUAAUCACCAAGAGCCCUCACAGUCGAGAACCAAAAAAUUCAGGGAAACAACAAAGGGCCACAGAAAAUCAGGGACCAAAAGGAUCUUUAGGCAACUUGGCAAUGCUCCUUGGCAGUCUUAGUCAUUUGAGGGACCGAAUGUUGCACUCACAUGAUGGCAUUAGUGGUGUUCCCAAAGUUACUAUGAUCAAAAGCAAAUAGAAAAUUCGAAGAUCCCAGAGGAAGAGGUCGAUUCAACAUCAGCGCAGCCUGAAACUCUUCCAGAAAAAGGCUUUGGGACUUCCCAAUACUCCCAUGUAGAGUGGAUAAUCUUUUAUAGAGCACACUUGCAAGACAAAUAAACAAACCAAAAGAUAUAUAAAAAUUAAUGAAAUUUUUUUUUAUGUUUUAGAAUGAAAAUUAAUGAAAAAAAUUAAUGUAAAAGUAGAAUUAAAUUUAUGUUUUAGAAAAUUUUUUUUAUAAGAAUAAAAAAUUUAUUGUAUAAAAAUUAAUGAAAUAAAAAAUAUAUAUAUCCCAUAUGAAUUUCUAUAUAUAACUUAACAUAAUAUUUUAAUUGUUAAUCUAAUAAAAAAAUAUGUUCUUAAUAUAUGUAAUCAGAUAAUAUAUAACAAAGUAUUAAUAUUCAAUUUUAUUAUAUAAUUAAUUAUUCACUAUUUUUAUACUAGAGAAUAUUUUUUUAAUAGAUAUAAUGGUAACAUAUAACAUCAUAUAUUAAAAUUAGAAGUUUAUAAAUUAAAAGAUAUAAAAUAUAUUUAUUUUUUUAUUAUUUUUAAUAAUAUCAUUAAUACUGGUCACGGUAAAAAUCUUUAAUUCAAUUCAAAUUAAUAUAACUAAAUAAGUCAAAUUAAAAAAAAAGGUGACGUUUUUUUAAAUUUGUUAAAAGAGCGGGAGGUACAUAUUAAUUUUAAAUUAUAAAAUAAAAAAAUAAAAGAAAAUUUUAAAAUAAAAUAAAAAUAAGGUGGGAAUUGCCAUCUUCAAUUACAUGUUGCUUCGCCAGUGGCUUCAACGAGAGCAAUCCCUGCUUCUUAGCCCUAUUUCUAGUCUGCAUGCCCAACUACAUAGGCAUGAAUAAUGAACCAAAUUAACAGCAAUAGCGGCGACAAUCUCUUCCCAACAAGUUUCUAAAAUAGUGUUGAACUUGCAUUUUCCUUUGAACUCGAGAUGUAAGGCUAAAAGGAUGAAAAAGGUCAGAACAAGCAUACAAGUGAAUGGUGUGGCUGAGGCACAGUGUUUUUCUUUUUUCUUUUUUUUUUUUCUUUUACCAUAUCACUAGGAAGACUCACUUUGAACUUUCCUUCUUCAUCAAGCUCAACAGAGAUCUCCUUGUUUUGAACUUUCCAUUUUCUACCUUGCAAUCAGUUGUUACAUGAAGCCCAGCAACAAAUCAAUAAUGCAUAAGAUAUCAUCUUCAAAAUAUAGUGCAAAAUCAUAGGUUAGCACUCUUUAACAUUAUCCAAUGAGCUUUCACACAGUGGUGCGAGUGAGAUAUCGAGUUUAAAUUCUAACUAAAAAUAAUAAUAAAAAAAUAAUGAGAUUUAACUCGAUAAUAUUAGUCAUUUUCAAAAUUAUUAAGUUCUCAAAUUUAUAUUAAAAAAAUCAUGAAAAGUUAUUUAUGAGUUCGAAUUUAAGUUCAACUUAAUUUUUUUUUUAAAAAAAAUUAAAGCUAAUCCAUAUUAAAAUUAUAAUUCAUGAUUAGAACUAAUAUGAUAUUUGUCUCUUAAUUUGGAGACAACUUUAGUUUCAAUGUUAGAUAAAUAAAACUUUUACAUAUGGAGAGAUGAAUUAGUCUCGUGGUAGGCAAUGGUGAUAAUUUAAAAAAUUAAAGACAUUCAUUCAUAUAAAUAGAAAUGACUCUCAAAAUUAUCCACCGAUGACCGUUGGCUUAUUGACACCCAAGUCUCAGUCGAAUCCUUAUAGGAGAAUCAGAUCCAAGACCUUCAGAGUCCACUACGCAAGCUGGCCCAUAGCAUACAAUCAAGUCUAUGAUUGAAGCAGGCCGGCUGACCAGGGGCCAGACUUAUCAAGGAGGAACUCAGCUCAUCUGAUGUGAUGGGGUAGGAGAGUAAACGCAGCUAUCCACGACUCUAUCAGCACUAGCGUCGGAAUGGAAUUAAAUGACUGUUUGACGAUGUUAGGCAAGUAGGUAUGCCCGUACGUACAGUUCUGUAUAAUAGUGACAGGUGAUACUCUAACAGGGCAAUUAUACGUCAGUAGAGAAUAAAGGAAAAAAGAAUUAAAAGAGGGAGGUCUGAACCAUUCAUGCCAAAUUUACUAAUUCAUAUUAAAAUCCUAUUUUUUUUGAAUUUCAGAUUAUCAUCCAUUAAAAAUUUGAGAUGCUAGAUAAUUUUUAUCAUUUUCUAAAUGAUUUCUAUAAUUUUAAAAGUCAGUCGGUUUUAUUUUUUUAUAUAAUAUUAGUAGAAAUAAAGGAAAAAUUAAAAAAAAAAAUUUUACAAAAUAACAAAUAAUUUGGGAUAAAACAACUUGAUGACAAGAGUAUAUACCUAGAAAGAGCAUACAUAUGAUUCAGAAAAAAAAAAUAUAUAUAUAUAUAUAUAUAUAUAUUUUUCCUCAAAGUCCUAUGAUUCAGAAUAUUUUCAAUUCCAUCUUGUGUAUCUCCUAAAUAGAAAUGCACAUAGCUGAAAGUGCCUGGCUGGUCUUAACGUUGCUUCCUUCACAGUCUGAACAUUCUCCUAUUCUAACUACUAUGCGGAGUGCUCCUCCCAAAAAAAGGAAGAAUCCGCAUUGGAAACCACACCAAUGCCCUAGCCUCCUGAAAUCAACAACACCUCACAAAAUUAAAGCCAACCUAAAUUAUUUCAUAUAACUUUUAUAUAUAUAAAACUAUAUAUUAGUUGUUAUUAUAAGGAAUGGAUUCGUAAAGCAAUUAAGCACACCCUGCGAUGCCCAAGUACUUAUUACAUGAGGCUGUAUAUGGACCCUAUGAGAUAAGCUUGUUUACGGUUUGAAUAUGACAGUAACGUGCACAUACCACCUUCUUCAAAUCAAAGCAUUAUCUUUCAUUCAAUGUGCUCUCAACUGUAAAACCUACUUAUCAUUUCCUCAUUAAUAUACUUUACCUUUAACAUACCAUGAAAUGCUCAUACUUGAAGGCAUGCAACAAAAAAAUAAAAUUAUACCCAAAUUUUGAUUUGACUAAUUUUUUAUUGUUUCAAUUUCUAUUCGAUAUGAUUCUCAAUUUUUCGGUUCAAUAUGAUUUCAGUUCUAAUUCUUCAUUCUUCAUAUAAAUUUAUACAUUUUUUAUAAAAAAUUAUAUUUAUUUAUACUUAAAUUAUCGUUUAAAUUUUAAAGUUAGUUAUUAAUAUAAAUUAUAUGAUAUAAUACAUAUUUAAACAAUUUACAAUUUAUAUAAAGUGUAUAAAUAUACAAAAUUAACCAUGAAAAUGAUAAUAUAAUUAUAUCAUUUAAUAUAUAUUUUAAUUACAUUUCUAUUAUAUUAUUUAAGUAACAGAUGACUAAAUAUAUUAUAAAUAUGGUAGUACAUUUUUAAUUAAGCAAGAUAAAUAAUUUAAUAUUUUUAUAAUCGAAGUUAUUAAGAAAAUGUAUAUGAAUAUAAAAUAAUCAUAGUAUGUAAAUUGUUCAUAAUUUUAAUGUAUAUACACAUAAUGUAAUAUUAAUGCGUAAAAAUAAAUAUAAUAUUAUUUAUAGUAUAUAAUAUAUCUAAAAGUUAUAAAAAAAAUAUGUGUAUAAAAUUAAAUUUCAAUUUGCUAUGAAUUCGAUAUAAUUUUAAUUAAGACGGUCCCAAAAUAAAUAUAAUUUUAAUUAAUACAGUCCCAAAAUAGUUUUAAUUCGCUUUUUCAUUGAAGAAGUAGAAUUAAAUCCAAACUAUAAAAUCAAUUUGAAUCGAUAUAAUUUUUAAUAUUUUCUUAUCAUUUUUUUAAAUCGGUACAAAACUCAACGAUAACUCAAAUAUAUAGUAAAAAAGGGAAAAAUACUGGUCGCCGAAAAAACAUCAAAAUUCAAAUAAAAUUAAAAACAUUGUAAGAUAAAUAUUAGAUGGACGUUGAAGAAUGAAGAUAAAUUACAAUGUGAUUGUGAGUACAAUGUAAUUAUGUAUGCCAUUUUGUCAACCAAAAAUUAAUUAGGUAUUUCGAAAAAGCGAAAAUAAGUUGAAUUAAAUCUCCAUAUUUUUUAAGGAUUAAAUAAGUUUAAUUAUUCAAGUUUCUAUAUUUUUAUUAAGAGUUAAAUAAAUCUUAAAUAAUAUAAUAUUAUUUUUUAAUAAUAAAAUAUUAUUUUAAUAAUUUAAAAAUAAAAAGUUUAGUACUUUCAUUUCUAUAAAAAUUUAAAAAAUACAUAGAUACAAUAAAUAAUUUUUAAAAUUAUAAAAAUAAAAUUUUAUCAUAUAAAAAUGUUUUUAUUAUUAAAAAUAAUAUUAUAUUUGAUGAAAACUUAUUUAAUUUUUGAAUAAAAGUAUAAGGGUUUAAUUGGUCUAAAAUUUUGAAUUUGACUAUUUGGCUCUUAAAUAAAAGUGUAGGAGUUUAAUUUGACUUAUAUCCAUUAUAGUACUUGAUGUGGCUAAAACGAAACUAUACUGCGAUUGAUAACUCAUAAAAAAGAGAAUAUGAGGUGGUUGGCGCAUACGGUAGUCACUCCGACGCUCAUAUCAGUAAACUGAAGAAAAAGGGCAAAUAUAAGAAUUGUUUAGAACUCAAUAGUAGUUGUGUAAGAAUAUAUACCUUGAUCUUUGCGAUUAUUAGCUUUUAUACGAUAAGAAGAUUAAAUUAAUUAUAGCAUCUCCUGAAAAUCAUAUUGGUAUGGGCUAAUUGAUAGGGGAUUAUGUGAUUAUAGGUAUAAUAAGGAUCUGCUGGAUUGCGAUCUCUAACAGUACCUUCCUAUGGAGUCUCACCCUAUAGGUUGAGAGGGUAAGCCUUGACGAAGAGUUGAGAUCUGAUGCGUCGGUCUUCUUUUCCUUUGAUGGGACCGGGUAUAAUCUGAUCAGACUCUUGACACGUGGUCUUGUCUUUGAAUGUCAACACAUGGCCUACCUUGGGCAAUUAUUGUGCUAUAUCAGAAAUCCUCCGUUACUUUUUGAUUAUUUAGAUUUAAAGGUGACAGUUGUCUUCAUAAUCUGGGGCACGUGACCUGUUUAGAUUGAGCUUCUAUGCUCGCGUCGCUUUGCUUAUUCUUGCCCAUAAUGAUAAUUGUCCUAUUUUAUAAUUUUCAGUUUUAAUGAGAAAACUUUCCUUCUAUAUUCUUUGUCAUUAUUUUCGGUAAGUGUUUAUAUACUUGAUACUCGACCAUAACUCUCGUCCACUUUCCUUCUAUAUUCUUUGUCAUUAUUUUCGGUAAGUGUUUAUAUACUUGAUACUCGACCAUAACUCUCGUCCGACCAUAACCAAAUAAAACUUUCAAUAAUCUCUUUAAAAAAUUAUUAAGGGAUUAAUACCUGAUCAAGCACCUGGCAACAUCUGCUUUUAGCCAUAAAAUAACUUUAAAAUUUUUUUAAUGGGACUUACUCCGUCUUGUGACUUACCUGACGAAUGCCUAUUUUGUAGCUAUAGAAAAAUAACUUAAAAAAUAAUAAAUCAGAUUUAACGCUUUCCAUGAUAAUAACUUAAAGGAUUUUGUUAAUCGAGACCGAUACUUGGUCGUUUAGCCUGGUGGAAAUCCACCUUAUAGAAUUUUUUGGCAGAAACUUAUCUUUAUCUUUUGGGACUGGCACUCAAAAACUCGCCUGGCGGUUACCUGCCUUGUGGCAUUUUUUGGUCAAAACUUGCCUUUGUCUUUUGGAACUAGCACCUAAAGACUCGACUGGUGGUUACCCGUCUUAUGACACUUUUUGGCCGAAACUUAUUUUUAUCUUUUGGGACUAGUAUCUCAAGACUCGCUUGGCGGAUACCCGCAUUGUAAUCUCGUAUAAAAUGCUUUAAAAACUUUUUAUAAAACAGGACUAACACCCGGUCUCUAGCCUAACGAAUACCUGCAUUGUGGCCUGAGCAUAAAAAUACUUUGAUUAGCAAGACUAACACCUGAAUUAUGUCAUGGUGGAUACUCGCUUUGUAGCAUGAUAUAAAAUGACUUAAAAACCUUUUGUGUUAGUUUAGUAUAAAAAUGACUUGGUUAGCGGAACUAACACCCAGAUUAUGGUCUGGCGGAUAUCCGUCUUGUAGCCUGACAUAAAAUGUCUUGUAUAGCAGGACUAACAUCCAGAUUAUGACUCAAAGGAUACUCAUCUUAUGACCUAAUAUAAAAUAUUUUGUUUAGCAAAAUUAAUACCCGAAUUAUGGCCUGCGGAUACUUUUCUUUUGGUUUUGACAUGAAAUGUCUUAUUUAGCGAGAUUAACAUUUGGAUUAUGAUCUGGCAGAUAUCCGCAUCGUAGCCUUAAUAUAGAAUACCUUAUUUAGCGAGAUUAAUAUCUAAAUUAUUGCAUGACGGAAUCCACCUUGUGGCUUUGACAUAAAAUAUUUUAUUUAGCGAUACUAACAUUCGGACUGUGGUUUGGUAGAAUCCGCACGUUGGCUUUAAUAAUAAAUGUUUUGUUUAGCAGAACACUCGAAUUGUGGCCUUCUUCUUAUUAUAUAAAAAAAAAAAAUUCAAAUGAUAAAUAUAGAAUGUACAAUACCGUUUAAAAUAUAAUUCAGAGAUCUCCAAAAAUUAUUACAACAUUGGCUGCUUCAAAGUUGACACUAAGCAAAAAUUUGGAAGAGCUAUUUUGGUGGUCUAGAUCUAAUAAUAAAUGGUUGAUAAGAAAUCACAUAUAUAAUCAAGAAAGCAACAUUUCAUAUACCGCACAGAACAAAGGGAUUUGUCGAGCUUGUCACUUUCUUAGGAAAAGUUUAAGAUUAAGGAUGUUGAUUAGUGGGAGAAAAAAAGAAAUAUUUAAAUGUGUUUUUUAAAACUUUAUAAAUUAAGAUUUUGUUUAAAAAUUCAACUUAAUUAGUUUUUAUAUUAAAAUUAAAAAAUUUAAUUAUUUUUAAUUUAAAAAAUUAAAAUCAUACCUAAUAUAAUAAGAAAUUAUUUAAUUAUUUUUUUAAAUAAACAUUUUGAAACAAGAUAUGGAGAGACAAAGGGCCUUUGUAUUGGAUCGUUGGCUGCAAUAAUGCGUGGGUUCAUGUCUAAUUAUAUUAUAAUUUUUUUUGUAUAAGCCCAAUUAAAAUUAUGUAUUUUUAGUCAAGAGCCAUUUAAUUUUUUUAUUAAAUAAACAUCUAAAAUUAAUUUGAUAUAAUAUUUUAUUUCCAUAAUUUUAAAAAUUAUUUAUUAUUUUUUGUGUUUUUAAAAUUUUAUAUUAUUGAAAUAAUAAAUUUUAAUAUUUUAAAUUAUAAAAAAAUAUUUUAUUAUUAAAAAAUUAUAUUAUAUUUGGUCAGCAUUUAUUUGGUCUUAAAAGUAUAAUUGAGGGAUUUAUUUGUAAAAAAAAUUAUAUUUGACGCUUAAUAAAAAAUAUAUAGACUUUUUUCCAUAAUUUUUUACUCACAAUGUUGAUAACCACCACACAGUAAAAUCAAUCCUUGUUCAACAUUCCAUAUUACAGAAAUCAAAUUAUACAGAAAAUAAAUAUUAAAAAGAUUAGAUGAAACCUUAUAAAAAUAUAAAGUUAAAAAUAAAAUAUAAAAUAUAAAGAGAAACAAAACAAAAUAAUAUAAAAAUAUGAAUAGGAUUUACAUAGAACUGUAGGAGUCAAAACAAAAAUUAAAAAUAUUAAAGAGACUUAACAAUAAUUUUAAAAAAAAUUAAAAUGAUUUUCAUGGGUAAAAUUUAAUUUGAAAAAAAUCGAGAAUAAACAGUAAAUUUGCAAUAUGUAUAUAUAUAAACUUUGUGGGUGAAAACUUUAAUUUUAAAAACUCCUGGAGACCAAGGCUCUCUAAGACACCACCUAAUUAUGCUUUCUUUCUACUAUUGAAUAAUAAUUCAUUAAAUCCCUAAACUAAAAUGAACUUUUAUUAAAUGGCUUCUAUAAAUUUAUAUAAUUAAACACAAUAUGAUGAUUAUUGAUAAUUUGUUAAAAAAAAAGUAAAAUUUUACACAUUUUUUAAUAACUAUGUUUAAAUUUUUUAAAAACAACAAAGCCCAUGCUCCAUUUUUUUUAAAACUAUCAUUCUCUAUUUUUUUUAGAGUAAAAUUGCCAUUUUUCCCCUUUUACAAUAAAUCAUUUGAAUGAUUCUGAUUUUUCUUAUAAAAUAAAAAUUAUUUUUUACAAAUUUAACACGACUAAUUUGCAUUUGAAUGGUGAACUUUUAUAAAUUUAGAUAUUUAAUAAAUUUAAAUUUUAGUUAGAUAUUCAGAAAAAAAUCGUAUAUAAAAGCAAGUACAUAUUUAGCGUAAAAAUAACCGAUUCACGUCUGCUUUCACAGGCGAGACAUAGAAGACCAUGUGCUGUGGCAAAGCAAGCCAAGCGAAACAAAACCAAAAAUUGAAAUACAAAAGCAAGCAUUUCAAAUAAGAAAUUUAUAAAGGUUCAAGAAAAUCAUAUCUAUCCUUUUCCUACCUCAGAUGAAGUUAGUCAUCCUCAAAAAGGCUCAACUUCCAAAAUUCACGUUUUUUUUUUUUUAAAAAAAUGUAAACAAAUUUCUUUCACAUGCUACAACAGAGAAACAUAUCUUUCUGGACUAAAUUUCGGUAACUACAUCAACUUAUGAGCUCUCAAAUACCCUAAGCGUGAGUUACAGGUUUGUGCAGUGCCUUGCCUUGUUCAGCUGACUCAGCUACUGACACAUCUACUUCUUCUUCUUAGAUUUGCUGGACAACGACUGAGUGUACGCAGUUCCCUGAACAUCCAGAAAAAAAUGUAGAAAUGCAUUUCAUUAGAAACAGUUUCUUGCACCCGAAAUGAUGUUCAAAAUGAAGAUAAUCAUGCCAUGUAUUUAAUGGAAACAACAAAUUUUUUAAGCGCUUAAAGUCCAAAUUUGCAUUAAAAAAUGCUAACUUUCAUGUUUCGGUCUAAAUUUGCUUAUGAACUAAAGUCCAAAUAAGCCCAAAUAGCCUACUAAGAUAAGCCUAUGCUAACUUUCAUGUCUCGGUCUAAAUUUGCUUCUGAACUAAAGUCCAAAUAAGCCCAAAUAGACUAAAGAUGAGCCUAUGCUGUCCUCGGUCUGUUUAGACUAAUUUGGACUUAUUUAGCCUUUUAAUAAUACUUUAGGACAAAUUUGAACCAAAACAUGAAAUUUAGCAUUUUUUACCCCGAUGUAUAGUUUAAGGGCAAAUUUGGCCUCUUUUGCUAUUUUUAAAGAGGGGCCACGUUUUCAAAUCCAUGUCUCGGUCAUGCAUGAUAAAAACAUGUAAACCCCACAAACCUGAAGCCAUUCAUCCAUUGAGACAUCCCUAGUCCCAGUUCCAGUUUCCACCUUAGGAGCCCUCUUAGUUUUCUGACCAAACAGAAGAAGCAAGUUUUAAAAUAUGUACGAAGCAAACAAAUUAAACAUCAAAAAAUUGCAGGUACAUAUGACUGAAGAUAUCAUAACAGAGCAUCUGGCAGAUAUAUGAAACAUCUAAAAUGGCAGGCAGGUAUAUAGGCCAGACAUCUACCAAGCUAUUUGCCUGACCUUUAUCAUCCACCAACUUAUCCCAUAAUUUCAUCUCUUGCAACUUGCAAGCGCACAGAACAACCAAAAGUCUCCUUUUAAAUGAAGUAAUUGAUAUCUUUUACAAUAUACUAAUUUAACCUUCCCAUGAUAGAAUCAUAUUCUCAUCAUAUACAAUCUAAAAGCAUAACUUAGAAUCUUAGAUGAUCACUACAGGAAUUAUUAAAGCAAUUAUGGCAUCCGGGCAAGCGAGUACCUUAGAAAGGUUCUGUAUUUGACCAUGAAUCCAUAGACCAAGAAGUACAAGAAGGGCAAAUCCAAGGGUAACCAGGAAAACUGACUCGACGCUGAGGAAGCCACCAGACUCGACAACUUCAAUGGUACCAUUGUAGAAGGUGCUCUGAUAUGGAUGCUGGUCUAUCUCAUAAAAAAUGGUGCCCACAAGAUCAAAGCUUCCAGGCUGCCCAAAAAUUUAAACAUACAUGUUGAAUCGCCAACUUCUCUAUAUUUCAGUUUUGAUGUAGAAAUAAGAUUGACAAGCAAUGCAAGUAUAUUGACAAUAAUGAAUCAUAAAACUCUGAGAGUAAUGCAUGUACCUGCAAGUACUUGCUGACUGCAAAAGUGUAUGGGAAUGUUGCCUGUGUUGAGGCAGGAACAGUUGCAUUGUUGAAGGCCUGCAGUUGAACAACAGUAAACAACAAAAUAAAAACAGGAAUCAACAGAAUCCUAGGAAAGCAAGAAAGCAGUGGUUAUACUAAAUUGCUAAUAAUUCUAGAAAAAAAUAUAAACUUUCAAUUAAGAGAAAGAUAAGAGAAAAAGAUAUGCAAUAGAAAAAAAUGUCAAAUUCCAAAAAUUACAAUUUAAGGCAAUGAUUAUAAAAUAUAGUACCUAGCCCAUAAAUCUGGUUUGCAAAACCUUGGUAACGGUGGCAGAUCCAAAAAUUUUGUUAGUGGGUCAAUGCACACAGCACAUGCACAAAUAUUUGUAUGUAUAAAAACAUUACAUGUGCAUGUAAAUAAAAUUUAUAAUAAAUCACUUACUAUACACAAUGGAGCAGAAAGAAGUAGAUUUAGAUAAAAAGGAAAUACAUAUGCAUAAUAGAGGAUGCUCAAGCUAUCAAGUGGUGGUGAAGAGAAGCAAUUGAUUUAUAUAAACUCAAAACUCUAGUGUAAGCAAUUUAAGCAACUGAAUGGCCCAAAGAAAAAUAAUUGACUGGGGAAAUUUUAAAAGAUCACAAUUCUACACAUAUUUAAAAGCAAUGAUAUGAGCAGACUUGUGCAACUAGACUCAAAAGUGACGGGCAAAUACUAACCCUUUCCUGAUUGUGAUACAAUGCACACAACAAACAAUACUAAAGCAACUAGCCCUAUUCUAUAAGUACCUUAAUUUAUGAAACUUUUGGAGAAUUCUUGGAAUUUCCACCACUACCUCUCUCUGGCUAACAAUUCUCAAAAAAUCCCCUUUAUCAUUCCCUAACUUGCUAUCAUUAACAAGUGGCUGUCAUGUGCACCAAGUAUACCUGGAAUGGGCGCCCAUCCUUUCUCCCACAACAAACUAAAGAAUAUUUACGAUCAGAAAGGACAGAGAAAGAGGGUAAAUGAUAAAAUUCACUCCUAAAAAUUCAUUAGCUACACUUCUCACUAAGGGAAGCAUGUUCUCUCUAUCCACCAACUACACCCUGCUCUUUCCACCCAUAAUUCAGCAAUGCGUUUUUUACUGGUUAAACUUGAUCUGAUCUUUGAUCUUGGCCCUGAGUUUGAAGCAGCUAUUUCUAUAAUCUAUUCUCGAGAAAUUAGAGCUUAAGUCAUUGUUUAUUCUAUGUAUAGAAACCACCUAAAAAAUGAUUCUGUGAUACAUUUCGUGCAUACGUACAUGUUAGUGUGUGUCAAUGAGUGUGAGACAGCAAGAACAAAGAGGAGGAGGAAGAGGAGAGAGGUUAGAUUCCUCUAUUUCCCCCAUUGGGAUGGGCACACCCAGAAAAGGGCAAACAACCAUAUCUACCCAUAUAACAAAUCAAACUAGAACCUGAUUUUGAGAUCAUCAUCACGUUAACUAUAAC